RNAcentral lists this ribosomal RNA (460 nucleotides) under uncultured bacterium. RNAcentral's name for it is "partial 16S ribosomal RNA". It matches the Rfam family "Bacterial small subunit ribosomal RNA", at positions 338 to 795 of the family's 1533-position model. The record is from RNAcentral.
CCUACGGGAGGCAGCAGUGAGGAAUAUUGGUCAAUGGACGAGAGUCUGAACCAGCCAAGUAGCGUGAAGGAUGACUGCCCUAUGGGUUGUAAACUUCUUUUAUAUGGGAAUAAAAUGUUCCACGUGUGGGAUUUUGUAUGUACCAUAUGAAUAAGGAUCGGCUAACUCCGUGCCAGCAGCCGCGGUAAUACGGAGGAUCCGAGCGUUAUCCGGAUUUAUUGGGUUUAAAGGGAGCGUAGGUGGAUUGUUAAGUCAGUUGUGAAAGUUUGCGGCUCAACCGUAAAAUUGCAGUUGAAACUGGCAGUCUUGAGUACAGUAGAGGUGGGCGGAAUUCGUGGUGUAGCGGUGAAAUGCUUAGAUAUCACGAAGAACUCCGAUUGCGAAGGCAGUUCACUGGACUGCAACUGACACUGAGGCUCGAAAGUGUGGGUAUCAAACAGGAUUAGACACCCGAGUAGUC